GUCUGUUACACCACUGUUGCUGCUUGCACUCGAAGCGGCGAUUGUGUGGUAAUGACUCCAUCAACUUGGCAUCCUCAAGAUCAUCGGCUUCGCUUCGUGAGCGAUGACGUUGAUGGCAUAGGAAGCGGCUGACACUUGGUAACUGACACGGUUGUCCUAUUGUGCUUGGUGUCUCCUUUCUGGCAACAAGUAAAGGAGUUCAGCACAGGACAUCUGUCCUUGCUCAUGCUGAGCGUCAAGAACAACACUCAG
Long non-coding RNA from Lolium rigidum, 252 nucleotides. RefSeq lists it as uncharacterized. The record is from RefSeq and is a predicted model, not a curated record. Lineage: Eukaryota; Viridiplantae; Streptophyta; Magnoliopsida; Poales; Poaceae. The transcript has 3 exons.